UGCCAGCCGCCGCGGUAACACGAACCGUACGAACGUUAUUCGGAAUCAUUGGGCUUAAAGGGUGCGUAGGCGGCGCGGUCAGUUGGGUGUGAAAGCCCUCGGCUCAACCGAGGAAUUGCGCCCAAAACUGCCGUGCUCGAGGGAGACAGAGGUAAGCGGAACUGAUGGUGGAGCGGUGAAAUGCGUUGAUAUCAUCAGGAACACCAGUGGCGAAAGCGGCUUACUGGGUCUCUUCUGACGCUGAGGCACGAAAGCUAGGGUAGCGAACGGGAUUAGAUA
This 279-nucleotide ribosomal RNA is filed under the name uncultured bacterium. RNAcentral describes it as "partial 16S ribosomal RNA". It matches the Rfam family "Bacterial small subunit ribosomal RNA", at positions 506 to 784 of the family's 1533-position model. The record is from RNAcentral.